This is a long non-coding RNA of Rhodamnia argentea, 336 nucleotides long. RefSeq lists it as uncharacterized. The transcript is spliced from 2 exons. The record is from RefSeq and is a predicted model, not a curated record. NCBI's taxonomy places the organism in Eukaryota, Viridiplantae, Streptophyta, Magnoliopsida, Myrtales, Myrtaceae.
GAAUCACUCCGUCACUCCAUCAAACUAAGAAAACGAUUUUCCUUUAUUUCGAUUAAUGGAAUCCGACAGCAAAAAAUCAUAAUGGUAAAGAAGAUCAGUAAAGCAAUUUCAACCACUGAUACUAGUUCUAUUGGAUGACGGGGGGAAAAACAGAUGGUGAGAAAUACAAUCAAUUGAACACAGAAAUGGUUUUGAUCAUUUAUAUGAUAUAAUCCUCAUUCCGCUGUAAAUAAAAUGCCAGUAAAAUACAAAGAUAUAGCUUAUCCAAGAUCACCACCCUCAGCCAAAACCAAAUGCUCUAUCAAAUGGAGUUUUGACUACAUGUGAGUAAAAAGG